RNAcentral lists this transfer RNA (65 nucleotides) under Gennadas parvus. Its description in RNAcentral is "tRNA-His". Lineage: Eukaryota; Metazoa; Arthropoda; Malacostraca; Decapoda; Benthesicymidae. The record is from RNAcentral.
GUUUAAGUAGUUUAACAAAGACGUCGGUUUGUGGGGCCGAAGAUAUGAAAAUAUUCAUCUUAAAC